Schizosaccharomyces pombe (fission yeast) is the source of this 329-nucleotide non-coding RNA. The record is from the annotation of a GenBank genome assembly. Lineage: Eukaryota; Fungi; Ascomycota; Schizosaccharomycetes; Schizosaccharomycetales; Schizosaccharomycetaceae.
AAUAAACUUUGUUCCAUCAUUCUAGCAUCGUCAUACAUAUAAGGAUAACGUGCUAUCUUCUUAAUCCUAUGCAUAUGAAGACUACUGGGAUGAACAAGCAUCAGCCCGGCAUUAAAAGUUUCAGAUUCUUCUGGGGGCGUCGCAUGUCCAGGGUUACGAUCGUCACAUGCGCCAAGAAGAUAUGGAUAGAAUUCUGAGCGAGGAGCACCAUAGGCAUCGAAAUUGUCGCUAAACUGAUAAUCCUCUUCAUCAUCUGGCUUCUUAAAGAUAGGAAAGCUAAACAUAUCGGGUUCUGCAGGAGAUUCAUAAACAUAGGGAGUAUCAAAAAU